CUUUCCCUCUGGCGGCAGGCCUAACACAUGCAAGUCGAGCGGAUGAAGGGAGCUUGCUCCUGGAUUCAGCGGCGGACGGGUGAGUAAUGCCUAGGAAUCUGCCUGGUAGUGGGGGAUAACGUCCGGAAACGGGCGCUAAUACCGCAUACGUCCUGAGGGAGAAAGUGGGGGAUCUUCGGACCUCACGCUAUCAGAUGAGCCUAGGUCGGAUUAGCUAGUUGGUGGGGUAAAGGCCUACCAAGGCGACGAUCCGUAACUGGUCUGAGAGGAUGAUCAGUCACACUGGAACUGAGAGACGGUCCAGGCGCCUACGGGAGGCAGCAGUGGGGAAUAUUGGACAAUGGGCGAAAGCCUGAUCCAGCCAUGCCGCGUGUGUGAAGAAGGUCUUCGGAUUGUAAAGCACUUUAAGUUGGGAGGAAGGGCAGUAAGUUAAUACCUUGCUGUUUUGACGUUACCAACAGAAUAAGCACCGGCUAACUUCGUG
Molecule: ribosomal RNA, 484 nt
Filed under: uncultured bacterium
Lineage: Bacteria
Description: partial 16S ribosomal RNA
Rfam family: Bacterial small subunit ribosomal RNA
Source: RNAcentral